GGUUUAGCGGAUGGAUUGAUAGCAGGGAGCUUGAUAGGAUCAGCUGGAAAGCUUCCAAAACAGUACAUGCAGGCUAUUUUUGCUGGAACUGCCUCUUCAGGUAACAUUUUUACUGUUUAGUUCCCAUCAUGAUUCUCCUAUUGCUUUUCUGAAUCAAGCAAUCAUCUAAGAGUAGUUUUAAACUACAUCAAUGACAAGAAUAAAGUGACUUUUACAUAAACCAUAUACGAGAAAACAUGCCAAAAGCUAAUAUCAGACCUAGUGACCUUCACAGUGUGUCUAGAAAAGAUUCUUCAGAGUAUGAAAUUCAUUCCAUGAAGUGCAACCUUUAUUCUUCUAAUCACCAUAUUUCCUGUAAGAAUGACCGUAACAGUUGCUGUGUGAUCUGCAAUGUUAUGUGACUCCAAUAUCUGACUAAAUUCGACAUACAGG
RNAcentral lists this long non-coding RNA (432 nucleotides) under Gossypium barbadense (sea-island cotton). Its description in RNAcentral is "long non-coding RNA (GBAR_LNC023498)". Lineage: Eukaryota; Viridiplantae; Streptophyta; Magnoliopsida; Malvales; Malvaceae. The record is from RNAcentral.